GGGCCCGUAACUUAGUCUGGUGGAGUGCUGGUCUUAUAAACCAGCGGUCCGGAGUUCAAAUCUCCGCGGGCCCA
RNAcentral lists this transfer RNA (74 nucleotides) under Candidatus Woesearchaeota archaeon CG10_big_fil_rev_8_21_14_0_10_45_5. Its description in RNAcentral is "tRNA-Ile". It matches the Rfam family "tRNA". Rfam says of the family: Transfer RNA (tRNA) molecules are approximately 80 nucleotides in length. Their secondary structure includes four short double-helical elements and three loops (D, anti-codon, and T loops). Lineage: Archaea; Nanobdellati; Candidatus Woesearchaeota. The record is from RNAcentral.